AUUUAUAUAGUUUAUUUUAAAAUAAUUCAUUUUCAAUGAUUAGAAAAGAUUCCUUUAUAAAUA
RNAcentral lists this transfer RNA (63 nucleotides) under Cantacader sp. RNAcentral's name for it is "tRNA-Glu". The record is from RNAcentral. Lineage: Eukaryota; Metazoa; Arthropoda; Insecta; Hemiptera; Tingidae.